RNAcentral lists this long non-coding RNA (226 nucleotides) under Medicago truncatula (barrel medic). RNAcentral describes it as "long non-coding RNA (MTRU_LNC003888)". The record is from RNAcentral. Lineage: Eukaryota; Viridiplantae; Streptophyta; Magnoliopsida; Fabales; Fabaceae.
AGUGUUUACAAGAGGAGUUGCUUUAAGAAUUACCCAAAAAGUAGUUCUAGGCAUUUGAUUAGACGAUACAGAAAUGAAUUUUGACUUUGGUAAGAAAGUGUCCCUUCAGUAGAACUAGGUGAUAAGGAUCAUCAAGUUGGAGAUAAGGGGUCUGGAGCUCUGAAGCAUGGACUCUGACAUGACAUUGAUACAGACAUGUUGAUACUGCUGAUGGAAAAAUCAUUGG